GACUCGGUAGCUCAGCUGGACAGAGCAGUGGCUUCCUAAGCCAUUGGUCGAAGGUUCGAAUCCUUUCCGGGUCGCCA
RNAcentral lists this transfer RNA (77 nucleotides) under bacterium. RNAcentral's name for it is "tRNA-Arg". It matches the Rfam family "tRNA". From Rfam's summary of the family: Transfer RNA (tRNA) molecules are approximately 80 nucleotides in length. Their secondary structure includes four short double-helical elements and three loops (D, anti-codon, and T loops). Further hydrogen bonds mediate the characteristic L-shaped molecular structure. tRNAs have two regions of fundamental functional importance: the anti-codon, which is responsible for specific mRNA codon recognition, and the 3' end, to which the tRNAs corresponding amino acid is attached (by aminoacyl-tRNA synthetases). tRNAs cope with the degeneracy of the genetic code in two manners: having more than one tRNA (with a specific anti-codon) for a particular amino acid; and 'wobble' base-pairing, i.e. permitting non-standard base-pairing at the 3rd anti-codon position. The record is from RNAcentral.